This 631-nucleotide ribosomal RNA is filed under the name uncultured Flavobacterium sp. Its description in RNAcentral is "bacterial SSU rRNA". It matches the Rfam family "Bacterial small subunit ribosomal RNA", at positions 65 to 700 of the family's 1533-position model. The record is from RNAcentral. Lineage: Bacteria; Pseudomonadati; Bacteroidota; Flavobacteriia; Flavobacteriales; Flavobacteriaceae.
GGGGUAUAGUAGCAAUACUAGAGACCGGCGCACGGGUGCGUAACGCGUAUGCAAUCUACCUUAUACAGAGGGAUAGCCCAGAGAAAUUUGGAUUAAUACCUCAUAGCAUAGCAACUUCGCAUGAAGUCACUAUUAAAGUUCCAACGGUAUAAGAUGAGCAUGCGUCCUAUUAGCUAGAUGGUAAGGUAACGGCUUACCAUGGCUACGAUAGGUAGGGGUCCUGAGAGGGAGAUCCCCCACACUGGUACUGAGACACGGACCAGACUCCUACGGGAGGCAGCAGUGAGGAAUAUUGGACAAUGGGCGCAAGCCUGAUCCAGCCAUGCCGCGUGCAGGAAGACGCAUCUAUGGUGUGUAAACUGCUUUUGUACGGGAAGAAACACUCCCUCGUGAGGGAGCUUGACGGUACCGUAAGAAUAAGGAUCGGCUAACUCCGUGCCAGCAGCCGCGGUAAUACGGAGGAUCCAAGCGUUAUCCGGAAUCAUUGGGUUUAAAGGGUCCGUAGGCGGUUUGGUAAGUCAGUGGUGAAAGCCCAUCGCUUAACGAUGGAACGGCCAUUGAUACUGCCAGACUUGAAUUACUGGGAAGUAACUAGAAUAUGUAGUGUAGCGGUGAAAUGCUUAGAUAUUAC